UGGGGAAUUUUGGACAAUGGGGGAAACCCGUGAUCCAGCCAUCCCGCGUGUGCGAUGAAGGCCUUCGGGUUGUAAAGCACUUUUGGCAGGAAAGAAACGUCGCGGGUUAAUACCCCGCGAAACUGACGGUACCUGCAGAAUAAGCACCGGCUAACUACGUGCCAGCAGCCGCGGUAAUACGUAGGGUGCAAGCGUUAAUCGGAAUUACUGGGCGUAAAGCGUGCGCAGGCGGUUCGGAAAGAAAGAUGUGAAAUCCCAGAGCUUAACUUUGGAACUGCAUUUUUAACUACCGGGCUAGAGUGUGUCAGAGGGAGGUGGAAUUCCGCGUGUAGCAGUGAAAUGCGUAGAUAUGCGGAGGAACACCGAUGGCGAAGGCAGCCUCCUGGGAUAACACUGACGCUCAUGCACGAAAGCGUGGGGAGCAAACAGGAUUAGAUACCCUGGUAGUCCACGCCCUAAACGAUGUCAACUAGCUGUUGGGGGCCUUCGGGCCUUGGUAGCGCAGCUAACGCGU
RNAcentral lists this ribosomal RNA (514 nucleotides) under uncultured bacterium. Its description in RNAcentral is "partial 16S ribosomal RNA". It matches the Rfam family "Bacterial small subunit ribosomal RNA", at positions 355 to 860 of the family's 1533-position model. The record is from RNAcentral.